CUUCCCCUUCUUUUCAUCCCUCUAGGCUUCUGCAAUUUCUGUCUACCCGCAAAAAUCCAGAGGAUACCCAGUUGCCCUGAGGUGUACCUGACUUAAUUGCUCUCUUGAACCCUGAUUUUUCUCGUAUCUAGAGUCGGCAAUUUUUUACAGACUCUUCAGGCAUGGAAGCAAUGAAGAUGAAGCUCUUUGUGGCUCUCAUGGUGGCAGUCGUGGCUUUCUCCGCCGUGCAGAAGGCUGCAGCUGCUGAUGCUCCUGCGCCAACCCCUGCAUCUGAUGCAGCUCUCUUUGUUCCUACCUUCUUUGCCUCUCUUGGUGCUUUGGCUCUUGGGUUUCUCUUUUGAGCAAACCAAGAAUGUCAAAGUCCUCAUUUUUAGAUAUAGAAGAACAUGGUUUCUCUGAUUCUCUCCAUUUCUCCUUGGUUCAUUAUCUGUUUUUUUUUUCUUCUCUCACCUCUGAUGGUUUCAGCCAACUACCUCUGCUGUUUGGUGCACGAGAAUGCGAGAAAAGAAGGAAACGGGAUGGAAAAAUUCUCCUCUUUUUUGUAUUAUGUUAUUUUGGAGAUGUAGUUUUAAGUUUAAUCAUUAUGAUUUUUAUUGUUUGAGGUGAGGUGUGAUUGUUGUGUUAUUUGAGAUAUUUGUAUUACAUUGACUUUUGUUAUAUAUAUAUAUAUAUAUAUAUGAAUCUUCUUCUGUAAUUAUCUUUGCUUAGUAGGGAGGAGGAUCUUAGGGUAAUUAGGAGAUGUUGAUGGGUGGGAUUAUGAUAUGUUUUGAUGGAUGAUGUAUAAUGGAACUUAAUUACCAGCUUACUCUCAUUUGUAUCUAUGAUUUAUUCUCGUAAUAAAAAUUGAUUCUUGUUUGUUCUUAGGCUUCUAUAGUUGGUUUAUAUUUACUAUGAGAAUUAUAAAGAGUUAUAGAGAGAGAGAGAGAGAGAGAGAGAGAGAGAGAGAGAGAGAAGCAAAAUAAGGGAGAUGAAGAAAAAAGGGUUCCUUAAAUUUUGAUUUUUGAAAUUGGGGAAGAGAAGAGAGUUUUAACUGUUCAAUGAUCUUUUGGAUCUUGAAUUACCCAUUUGACAAUUUUUUGAAAACAUGUCUUCUUUACAUUUGGUUUUUGAAACUGGGUUUUCAUAAUCUUGAAUUAGGAACUGGUAACUUCUUGGAAGAAAAAGGAAAAUGGACACCACCAUACUGGUAAUAAUUUUUGAGAAAUGGGUGUUCCUCAAAGUUGAUUUUUAUUGAAUAGUUUGGGAAAAUGUUGUGGUAAGCAAUGAGCUGUAAAGUUUUGGCAGAUUCUCCUGGAGAUGGUUUGAGUGUCAGCAUGACAGUUUUUUGUAGGGUUUAUCAAAAUGUAGUAAAUUGUUGGCAUUGCCCUAUUUGCUUUCCAUGUGAGUUAAAGAGGCUGGAAUUGCAAGAAAAGUCAUGAAGCAAAAAGCUUCAAAACCCAAAAAUCAAUAAUGUUAAAGUGGGUAAAAAAUAUGGUUAAAAUUGUGAAAUAUGUAUAUAUAUAUAUAUAUGUAUAUAUAUAAUAAACACACUAAUGAAUUUAAACAUGAACAUAAUAACUUCCACUUCUUUCAGUCACUUUCUGUAUUUCAUUUGUGUAUGGCUCAAUUUUAUGAGUCAUAUUUUAUAAUAAAGCAUCCAAGAAAAUAUUCUCUUGUGCCAUGGAGAAAAUUAAUUUGAGGCCAUGUGAUUGUGAUUGUGACCUUACCAUCUAGAUAUUCUUCAAUUACAGCCAUACAUGUAUGUAUAUAUAUAUAUAUAUAUAUUUAUAUAUACUAUUACUAUUAUUGUUAUUCUGUUAAUUCAUUUCUCAGUCUUGCCCUGUAAAAAUUAUAGAAACUAGAACCACAAUCUUAGAUUUUCAAAUUGCUUGUGCUUCAUUUUUGGUUUUGAUUUGGUCUUCACCUUCUCUUUUCUUAACUUUGACUACUUUUUAGUACAAGAAAAUCAUUUUUAACUUUCAUAAACACACACACACAUAGAUAUAUAUAUAUAUAUACAUUGUGGGUGUAUCAGAGGCUGCUUUCACCUAUAAUCAAGUGAUUAACUCAAUUUAUUGAUGUAUUAAAUGAGAAUUCAAUGGUUGAGUUGAUUUAAUAUCUUUUUUUUUUUAUAAACAAACAUAUAUCUAAAAGAGAAAGGGGAAAAGAAUACCAGAGAAAAAAAGGGUUAAAGAGAAUAGUGAUGAUGUGAACCAGUUAACAAACAUCACAUGGUUGCUGGGUCUGAGAAAGCUGUGCAGACCCACCACCAUGAGCCAUUUCUUUUUUAGUAGACAAACUCAAAUAUACUUGUUUCAAUAAUUUAUACCAUAUCUUUUUGUUUAAUUAUUCUAAAAGCUGUAAACCCAGUUCAAUUUUUAUGAAAAUUAAGAAUAGUACUUGACACUGUAACUCUGAAUUGAAAUCUAACAUUGUAUAAUACUCAGUUCCAUCUUUAUCAGAAGCAGUAAUUGCUUGUAUUUUUACAUGUACAUUCAUGGUGAGUUUGAAUAGAUGCAAGACUACUUGUUUUUUCUUUUUUUUUUGUAAAUAGAGAAGUAAAAUCAUUAUCCCAUUUCAAUUGAAUAGCUUUGAAUAGUAUCUCAAUUAUAAAAUGAUUGUAGCUGAUACCAAACCCCCAAAAUCCACAUGCAUCACACAAAGCAAGAUAGUUGUAGGUAUAUAUAUGUAUGUAUAUAUUAAAUAAAGAAAGUUUUUAACAGAGAUCCAGAAAUGAGAUGGGUUGCACAUGGGGUUUGUGAGCAAAGAGCCAAAGAGGAAGAGUUAGGGUUAGUUGGCUGGGUGGUGAAUUUCUAAAUAAAAAUACUAAAUUGGGGAAGAAUCAAGUGGAUUCAUUCAUGAAGAUUUGCUUCUCUCUUCCUGCUCAUUCUACUUUCUUCAAAAACUUGGGAUAUCUUGUAAAAACUCAAGAACUUGAAAUGAAAGGAAUUGAAAAUUGAAAACAAACAUUUGACUAAACCUACAUUACAUUCCCCAAUUACAGUGCCUUCAAAAAUAUUGUUAAAGAGUAGAUACAAUUCGAUUAGAAAUCUGCGAUUUUACUGGGAUUUGACGAUGAUGAUGAUGAACUCGCUUUAAAUCAUCAAUAAGUAUCAUAAAUGAAUUCAAAAACCGAUCGUGAAUCCGAUUUACCUGGUAGAGAGAGGAACAUCUCAAAGCAUUCCUCUUGAAUGAUGAGAAGGAUAAAGCAGAUAGACUGAAACCGGCACAACAUAGAUACAGCCACUUGACCUUACCUAAAGAAUUUACUGCAUAAAUGGCUCUAAUGGGUUUUUGGGGUUUUUCCUUUUACAUGAUAAUACAUAACAAAACUGUAUCUAAGAUACUAGGACUUCGUGCUAGUCGGGGGUAAAGUCCCUAUCUAUCACAACAUCUAAUUAUGCUGGUAAAAGGCCGAUCAACUAAUCUUAAUGUUAAUUUACAUGCUUUUUUAAUCGACAGCAAUACUACUUCUUUCUGUUAGACCUAACUAUGGAUUCCCAGUUGUUUUAUUUUCUUUCUGGGAAUUCAACAGCGCUAAAUAUAAAUAUCAAUCACCUGCACUACAUGUACACCCUAACGUUAUGAGUUAUUGUACACACGGUCAUGGUUGCAGACAAACCAAGCUUUCAAUGUCUGCUUGAUCAUCUUUGCUGCUGCUGCUGCUGCUUUUCAAACCUGUGGCUUGUCUGGAUGCCGAGAGAGCUCUUUCUCGGCAAAAUGAAGGAGCCUUCUCAGUCUCAAAACCAUAUCACAGUGAAAAGGCAAUGCAGUUCGUCGGUCUAAGUAUGCUGGGCUCACUGUCAUCCAUGACAAAGCAUGAAGCUCCACCGCAACAGAUUCGAGAAUUAAAUGAGUUUCGAUUUCAAAAUCUCUGGUUUCUGAGCUUGAAGUUCUUCCCCCUUGUCUUACAGCUCCUUGCAUGAUCUUUUCUUGGUUAAUACUAUUACCCCCGUAAUAAUCAAUGAGACUGACUGAAAGAACCGAAGGCCAUUCUUCUUUCACGGUGAUCCUAUAAUCCUUCCUCAUUGAAGGUACAGCUUUUGAAACCACAAAACCGGUGGAUAGGGGGAUUGCAGAGCCCUUGCUGUGAAGGAGGUGAGCAAGUGGUGGGGAUUCAGCAGUAAGACAAGUGGGCAGCUGAAGAGGCGUCGAAGGCAGAAAGCGCAUACUUGGUGAUGGUAUCAACAUGUAAGAGACGGACGCAGAACCAAGAGACUUCACAGGGGUAAACCCUUCCAAAUAGCCUCCUAGACCCAUGCUACUGCCACCCUGAGUUCCUGCUGCAUAAUGAUAUCAGGAGAAAUACAUACCAAAAUAGAAUGUAAUCAGUCAUUUCUUUUGGCACUGAAAUAUCUUGGGUGCUCAAAAACCAAAUAAAUUUGUAAAUAUUCACAAAAAUCCUCUCUCAUGGUUCCUUUCUUGAAUGUUUAUAAUGAACUUAAGCAGAAACAUCCAGCAAUGAACCAUAGAAGCAGCUACAUAAAAAAUUUGGUUAAACCAGUUUCUCAUUGCGGAUAUCAAAUUUUCCUAAGUAGACUUUUCAAACCUCUGAU
This 4535-nucleotide long non-coding RNA is filed under the name Carica papaya (papaya). RNAcentral's name for it is "long non-coding RNA (CPAP_LNC006227)". Lineage: Eukaryota; Viridiplantae; Streptophyta; Magnoliopsida; Brassicales; Caricaceae. The record is from RNAcentral.